This 253-nucleotide ribosomal RNA is filed under the name uncultured bacterium. RNAcentral describes it as "partial 16S ribosomal RNA". It matches the Rfam family "Bacterial small subunit ribosomal RNA", at positions 524 to 776 of the family's 1533-position model. The record is from RNAcentral.
UACGGAGGGUGCAAGCGUUGUCCGGAAUCACUGGGCGUAAAGGGCGCGUAGGCGGCUCAUGAAGGCUGUGGUGAAAGUCCGGGGCUCAACCUCGGAUCGGCCGUGGCGACUCGUGGGCUGGAGUACUGUAGAGGCGGGUGGAAUUCCGGGUGUAGCGGUGGAAUGCGUAGAGAUCCGGAAGAACACCAGUGGCGAAGGCGGCCCGCUGGGCAGUGGCUGACGCUGAGGCGCGACAGCGUGGGGAGCAAACAGG